UUCCUCUCAGGAUUGCGCCUGGAGAGUUUCCAGUACUCUACCAGUCUCGACUAUGAGGGGAGAGGGAAGCAGAGGCCUGUCCAUUCCAUUCGUAGCUUGGUCAGUGACUAGCGAGUGGAAGGCAAUCUGCUACAAGU
Small nucleolar RNA from Ornithorhynchus anatinus (platypus), 137 nucleotides. The record is from RefSeq and is a predicted model, not a curated record. NCBI's taxonomy places the organism in Eukaryota, Metazoa, Chordata, Mammalia, Monotremata, Ornithorhynchidae.